CCUACGGGAGGCAGCAGUGGGGAAUAUUGCGCAAUGGGCGAAAGCCUGACGCAGCGACGCCGCGUGAGGGAUGAAGGUCUUCGGAGCGGAAACCUCUGUCAGCAGGGAAGAAAGGUCACGGGGCUAAGCAGCAGUGAAUGGACGGUACCGGCAAAGGAAGCACGGGCUAACGCCGUGCCAGCAGCCGCGGUAAGACGGAGGGGGCGAUCGUGAAUCGGAAUUACUGGGCGGAAAGCGCUCGUAGGCGGGAUGUCAAGUCAAGGGUGAAAUCCCCGCGCGCAACGUGGGAACUGCCUUUGACACUGGCAAACUGGAGUGUGUGAGAGGAUAGUGUAAUUCCCGGUGU
This 346-nucleotide ribosomal RNA is filed under the name uncultured bacterium. RNAcentral's name for it is "partial 16S ribosomal RNA". It matches the Rfam family "Bacterial small subunit ribosomal RNA", at positions 338 to 676 of the family's 1533-position model. The record is from RNAcentral.